Molecule: ribosomal RNA, 510 nt
Filed under: uncultured bacterium
Lineage: Bacteria
Description: partial 16S ribosomal RNA
Rfam family: Bacterial small subunit ribosomal RNA
Source: RNAcentral
GACGAACGCUGGCGGCGUGCUUAACACAUGCAAGUCGAACGAAGAGCGAUGGAAGCUUGCUUCUAUCAAUCUUAGUGGCGAACGGGUGAGUAACGCGUAAUCAACCUGCCCUUCAGAGGGGGACAACAGUUGGAAACGACUGCUAAUACCGCAUACGAUCUAAUCUCGGCAUCGAGGAUAGAUGAAAGGUGGCCUCUACAUGUAAGCUAUCACUGAAGGAGGGGAUUGCGUCUGAUUAGCUAGUUGGAGGGGUAACGGCCCACCAAGGCGAUGAUCAGUAGCCGGUCUGAGAGGAUGAACGGCCACAUUGGGACUGAGACACGGCCCAGACUCCUACGGGAGGCAGCAGUGGGGAAUCUUCCGCAAUGGACGAAAGUCUGACGGAGCAACGCCGCGGGAGGGAUGACGGCCUUCGGGUUGUAAAGCUCUGUUAAUCGGGACGAAAGGCCUUCUUGCGAAUAGUGAGAAGGAUUGACGGUACCGGAAUAGAAAGCCACGGCUAACUACGUG